UCUACCGCGUUGACGUUUCGCAAUAAUAUACACUCUUUGUACAUCAGGCGUUACGCGAGUAGUUACACCUAGUGAGCAAGCGAUGCUUACUCUGCAGCACAUCGAUAUUUCGAACCCGUAUAAGACAUUCCUCGGAGUUCUUUAACUCGCUGACAACAAAACGAUAUUCCUACAGCGAGUCAGGCACAACGGUAGCAACAUCGGGAGCAGCUGCGAUGUGUGUUAUGACAAUAAUUAGCGCUUGCGCACAGUUUAUCAUACGGUGGUAUAUAUCACGUAUUAUGUGUACAUGGAUAGUCCAAUGUAUUACACCUUUUGACAAUAAAUUUAUUCAAGUCGU
Athalia rosae (coleseed sawfly) is the source of this 340-nucleotide long non-coding RNA. RefSeq lists it as uncharacterized. The record is from RefSeq and is a predicted model, not a curated record. The transcript is spliced from 2 exons. NCBI's taxonomy places the organism in Eukaryota, Metazoa, Arthropoda, Insecta, Hymenoptera, Athaliidae.